This 253-nucleotide ribosomal RNA is filed under the name uncultured Opitutus sp. RNAcentral describes it as "partial 16S ribosomal RNA". It matches the Rfam family "Bacterial small subunit ribosomal RNA", at positions 524 to 776 of the family's 1533-position model. The record is from RNAcentral. Lineage: Bacteria; Pseudomonadati; Verrucomicrobiota; Opitutia; Opitutales; Opitutaceae.
UACAGAGGUCCCAAGCGUUGUUCGGAAUUACUGGGUGUAAAGGGUGCGCAGGCGGCCGAGUGUGUGAGGCGUGAAAGCCCGGGGCUUAACCCCGGAAUUGCACCUCAAACUACACGGCUAGAGCAUUGGAGAGGGUAGCAGAAUUCAUGGUGUAGCAGUGAAAUGCGUAGAUAUCAUGAGGAAUACCAGAGGCGAAGGCGGCUACCUGGACAAUUGCUGACGCUCAGGCACGAAAGCGUGGGGAGCAAAAGGG